Molecule: unclassified non-coding RNA, 282 nt
Filed under: uncultured soil eukaryote
Lineage: Eukaryota
Description: sequence contains 5.8S rRNA gene, ITS2, 28S rRNA gene
Source: RNAcentral
AACGCAUCUUGCACUCUUUGGUAGUCCAGAGAGUAUGCCUAUUUGAGAAUCAUAAACACCUAUCCAGCCUAUGUUUUUGUAGGCUGGGAAUUGGGAGAUAUCAGGCUGAUAUUCCUGAAAAGGAUGUGUCUCUUGAGGAUAUGGUUCAGUGUGGUGGUAGAGCCGUGGCUCUCAUAUUCAGCACUAGAAUUCAGCCUCAAUAUAGGGAUAUUAUCUAGCCUAUGUAGGCUAAAUAACCUCAUUAGUGAUCUCAAAUUAGGCAAGACUACCCGCUGAACUUAA